This 23-nucleotide microRNA is filed under the name Macaca mulatta rhadinovirus. Its description in RNAcentral is "rrv-miR-rR1-6-5p". Its record names the gene rrv-miR-rR1-6-5p. Lineage: Duplodnaviria; Heunggongvirae; Peploviricota; Herviviricetes; Herpesvirales; Orthoherpesviridae. The record is from miRBase by way of RNAcentral.
CGCGGAAAGGUGUGCACAUCGUA